CCAUUUGGAGUUGCGAAGGCCCUUAGUGAAGGAACCAAAGGACAUUGAGUGAACAUUCAGAGGCGUGUUAAGGACUGCAAAGUAUUUGAAGGGUAAGAUAAGUGGAGGAAGCUUUUGGGAUUGAAAAAGGAAAGCACCACAAAAGG
This is a long non-coding RNA of Vigna angularis (adzuki bean), 146 nucleotides long. RefSeq lists it as uncharacterized. NCBI's taxonomy places the organism in Eukaryota, Viridiplantae, Streptophyta, Magnoliopsida, Fabales, Fabaceae. The record is from RefSeq and is a predicted model, not a curated record. The transcript has 3 exons.